CCGGAACAACAUCAAUGUGGAUAAAAGUUUCCAUCGAGGCGACAGACGUCUGGCGUCCUUUUCUUGUUAACAGGCACAGAACACAAACGUUCUGAGUUUAUACGCAUACCAAUGCACCGUUCAAGACACAUAUAAAAGGCGUAUAAAUCGACACAGACAUUCGCAAAGAGAACGAACUUUUCCAGAACUACUGGGGAUAUCGAAAUGUGACAAAGGGAAGAAAGUUGAUCAACAGUGCAGUUGACAUUAUGCUGUCGUCCUUAUAACUCGUGACUCAACAGUUGUGAAGAUGUUUCUGGUCAAGGUUUUGUACGCCUCGGUCAAGUGAAAAACGUUCAGGACAAAUAGAUUGAGGCAGAGUUAACGAAAUGGAGUAUUUUCAUUCCAUACUAAAUUACACACAUUAUGUUGUUGAAAUUGUUUGAAAUAUUGAAUCCAGAAUUGAAAAUAUGUAUCAAGCCCCCAAGAAGUAAAAUGUAAAAAUAUGUAUCUAUUACAUAUAACGCUUUGAAAUUAGAUUAAAAAAUUUUAAACUCGCAUUUAUUAUCUAAGAAUGUAUGAGAAAUUUUUUAUAUAAUGCCACGAAUAUAAACUGCAUCGAUCCAACAUAUUUUUAUCGUGAAUAUUUAUAAUCAUAAAUUCUCG
RNAcentral lists this unclassified non-coding RNA (645 nucleotides) under Bombus terrestris (buff-tailed bumblebee). Its description in RNAcentral is "misc RNA ENSBTSG00005035317.1". The record is from RNAcentral. Lineage: Eukaryota; Metazoa; Arthropoda; Insecta; Hymenoptera; Apidae.